This 411-nucleotide ribosomal RNA is filed under the name Passiflora organensis. Lineage: Eukaryota; Viridiplantae; Streptophyta; Magnoliopsida; Malpighiales; Passifloraceae. The record is from RNAcentral.
GUCCUCCCAACAGAACAAACCCCCCGGCGUAAAAUGCGCCAAGGAAUCUUAAAUGAAAAGAGAAGGUAACCAGCACCCUAGCGUGCCGGGAAAGGAAAUCCCCAGGGGGGGUGGUUUCCUUGGUUAAAAAAUAAAUGAAUCUCCGCAAACGAAAUCUUGGCUCUCCCAUCCAUGAAAAAAGUAACCAAAUGGGAUACUUGGUGGGAAUUUGCAAAUCCCCUUAAACAUCCAAUUUUUUAAACCCAAUUGCCCCCAAAGCCUUCCGGGCCAAGGGACCUCUUGCUGGGUGUCAAGGUACGGUUCCCCCUCCAACUUCCUUUGUGGGGAAAUUCGAAUAAGGGUGGAAAAAUGUCUCCCUUGGGGCCCCCCUCCCCGUUGGCCCAAAAUUGAAUUCUUGGGGAAAAUUGCCCU